RNAcentral lists this ribosomal RNA (781 nucleotides) under Gibellula pulchra. Its description in RNAcentral is "Torrubiella arachnophila partial large subunit ribosomal RNA". It matches the Rfam family "Eukaryotic large subunit ribosomal RNA", at positions 381 to 1189 of the family's 3401-position model. Lineage: Eukaryota; Fungi; Ascomycota; Sordariomycetes; Hypocreales; Cordycipitaceae. The record is from RNAcentral.
AAGAGGGUUAAAUAGUACGUGAAAUUGNUGAAAGGGAAGCGCUCACGACCAGACUUGAGCCCGGUGAAUCAUCCAGCGUUCUCGCUGGUGCACUUCGCCGGGCCCAGGCCAGCAUCGGUUCGCCGCGGGGGAGAAAGGCGUCGGGAACGUGGCUCCCUCGGGAGUGUUAUAGCCCGUCGCACAAUACCCUGGGGCGGACCGAGGUUCGCGCAUCUGCAAGGAUGCUGGCGUAAUGGUCGUCAGCGACCCGUCUUGAAACACGGACCAAGGAGUCGUCUUCGUAUGCGAGUGUUCGGGUGUAAAACCCCUACGCGUAAUGAAAGUGAACGCAGGUGAGAGCUUCGGCGCAUCAUCGACCGAUCCUGAUGUUCUCGGAUGGAUUUGAGUAAGAGCAUACGGGGCCGGACCCGAAAGAAGGUGAACUAUGCCUGUGUAGGGUGAAGCCAGAGGAAACUCUGGUGGAGGCUCGCAGCGGUUCUGACGUGCAAAUCGAUCGUCAAACAUGGGCAUGGGGGCGAAAGACUAAUCGAACCUUCUAGUAGCUGGUUUCCGCCGAAGUUUCCCUCAGGAUAGCAGUGUUGAUCUCAGUUUUAUGAGGUAAAGCGAAUGAUUAGGGACCCGGGGGCGCUAUUAAGCCUUCAUCCAUUCUCAAACUUUAAAUAUGUAAGAAGCCCUUGUUGCUUAAUUGAACGUGGGCAUUCGAAUGUAUCAACACUAGUGGGCCAUUUUUGGUAAGCAGAACUGGCGAUGCGGGAUGAACCGAACGCGAGGUUAAGGUGCC